RNAcentral lists this transfer RNA (77 nucleotides) under Caldimonas brevitalea. Its description in RNAcentral is "[Polyangium] brachysporum tRNA-Glu". Lineage: Bacteria; Pseudomonadati; Pseudomonadota; Betaproteobacteria; Burkholderiales; Sphaerotilaceae. The record is from RNAcentral.
GACAGUUCACAUCUAGUGGCCUAGGACACGACGCUUUCAAUGUCGGAACACGGGUUCGAUUCCCGUACGAGACGCCA